AAAUAGACUACCCGGGUAGUCCACGCCGUAAACGAUGGAUGCUAGCUGGUAGGGGGUAUCGACCCCUUCUGUAGCGAAGCUAACGCGUUAAGCAUCCCGCCUGUGGAGUACGGCCGCAAGGCUAAAACAUAAAGGAAUUGACGGGGACCCGCACAAGCGGUGGAUCGUGUUCUUUAAUUCGAUGAUAAACGGAGAACCUUACCAGGGCUUGACAUCCUUGGAAUUUCUGCGAAAGCAGUUAGUGCCUUUUGGAACCAAGUGACAGGUGAUGCAUGGCCGUCGUCAGCUCGUGUCGUGAGAUGUUUGGUUAAGUCCAUCAACGAGCGCAACCCUUAUGUUUAGUUGUAUUUUUCUAAACAGACUGCCCCGGUAACGGGGAGGAAGGAGGGGAUGAUGUCAGGUCAGUAUUCCCUUACGUCCUGGGCUAGAAACACGAUACAAUGGCUAGUACAAUGCGCAGCGAAGCCGCGAGGUGGAGCAAAUCGCACCAAAGCUAGUCCCAGUUCGGAUUGGAGGCUGAAACUCGCCUCCAUGAAGUCGGAAUCG
Molecule: ribosomal RNA, 546 nt
Filed under: uncultured bacterium
Lineage: Bacteria
Description: bacterial SSU rRNA
Rfam family: Bacterial small subunit ribosomal RNA
Source: RNAcentral